Long non-coding RNA from Rhopalosiphum padi (bird cherry-oat aphid), 2613 nucleotides. RefSeq lists it as uncharacterized. The transcript is spliced from 2 exons. Lineage: Eukaryota; Metazoa; Arthropoda; Insecta; Hemiptera; Aphididae. The record is from RefSeq and is a predicted model, not a curated record.
AACUAUUUGAAAUUUAUAAUUUAAUGCAAUAUAAAUAAUAUUUAAAUAUAUAAUAUGUAUAUUUUGUAGUAUUUAUUAUUAUUUUUAAAAUUAUUACUUUUAAUGAUUAUUAAUUUUGAUUUUACGUACGAUUUUACUUUUUUAAACGAUCUUAAACAAUAACUGAUGGCAACGUUGCUUACAAAAUGGGCGCAUUUUGGCUAUAAAUCAGGGCGUUAAGUAUUAUUAUUUUAGGCGCAAAUGGGCUAUUCUAGGGCGUCAAAAAUAUUUACAAAUAGGUAAUUGGUUUCGCUGUUCAGAAAACGAAAUGGCACGGGUAUUGUUAUUUCUAUUAACUUCUUUUAUGAGUUGACAUACAAAUUACCGGUUACAAAAAAUUAAAAUUGUUAGUCUUAACUAAAAGCUUCAAUACCUAAUAAUUAGACAUUUACAGGCUGUCAUUAAAAAAAUUAUCGUUCCAAUCGAGAUAGAUUGAUUCAUGAAAUUCGUGUUUUACUAGGUAAUAUAACUAAUAUUCUUAUAAAUUCAAAAAUAUAAUUGGCUUUAACUUGGCCGAUUUUUAUUUAAUUUUAAUAUUUUUACUUAAACUGUUGUAAAAAAUAUGAUCAAUAAAAUUGUUAUCUUGAUAAUUUAAAAAACUUAAUUACAUAAAAACAUUUUUUGAUAAUUAUUGAAGUUUUGAAAGAAAAAAAUGAGAUGCCAUUCAAUCAGAAUUUCUAUACAUCUUAUUCAACAAAAAACACAUUUCAAUAAAUUAAUUUUCCAUGUGAUAUACCGUACCUUUAUUAUGAAAAAUAGAACACAAUUAAGUAGAUACUAUUAGAUUUUAGAUAUUUGAUAAAGAAUACAUCAGUACUUACAACACGAUACAUUAGAAUUUUUGUAGCCAGUACAAAUUGUGUACAGGUGUCAGGUAGGUAUUUAAUGAAUAAUUAGUUUUGAAUUGUUGUCUUAAGAAUAAUAUUAGUCAUAUUAUCUUCAUACCAUGCAUACUAUGCAUAUACGUACAUUGCAUAAAAUAUAUAUAAUUGUCUAUACUAGUGGUUUUAAAUCUGCGUUGCAGCUCAUAGAGGCGUCGUCGGUAUAAAUUAAAAAUAAAAUAACUAACAAUAUAUUUUUUUUGUAGUUAAUUAACUAUAUAUUUUUACCUUGAUGAAUAUGUUGUUAUCUUUAUAAAGAUGAAUUCCAUUUAACUAACCUAAUUUUCAUCUAGAUUUUGUAAUAUUAAAAUUAUCUCGAUAUUUUUUUAAUUAUUCUCGAACUAAUUGUACAAAACAGUCGUAUACUCGUAUCAUUGAAUUAUAGCCAUUUAUAGGUUAAUAUUAAAAUUCAGUAUAUUUUUACAGAUAUAGCAAGUAGCUACAAGAGUUCAUUAUAUGCUAAAAGUAUGUUUAAUACAUCAAAUCCGACAAAAACCUACUGUGAUUUUCUUACGAAAGAAAGUUGUGUGAAAAACAAUUUUAAUAAUUUACCAAAAAAAAUGAUAAUAAUUCCUAAUUAGGGAACAUUUUAUUAAAAAAAAAAAAAAAUCGCGGCUAAAAUUAUUUUUUUUUCUUUAUUAUUUAUUGUUAUUUAUGAUCUAUUAUCGAUAUCUAUAUUAUUCAGUAUAAUGACUAUAUAGUAUAUAAUACAUGUCAACAAUCAGGCAAAUAUUAAAUGUAACAAUAAAAUAAAUUUAUUAAAAAGUAUGUAAAAACACAAAAGAUAAUAAAAUGAUGUUAAUGUAUAUUUAGAUUUAUGUUAUAUUUGUAGUCAAAUUAAAUUUAAAAAACAGAAAUGGAAAUAAAUAUUUUUACAAAAAACUUGUUUCUACCAAAAUCAUUUUGAUUUUUUUGAUGUAAUUCGCUAUUUUUAAACUAAAUUAAUAACUGUAAAUAACAUGAUAUCGUGGUAUUAUUUUUCAUCAAUGAACCAGACAAAAAUGGCAAUGGUAAAAUAAUUAGUCUUUACAAAACAAGCAUCAAAUUAGGGGAGCCGUAAAAUCUCGGAAAGUAUUCCAACGGGCCGUAUAUAUUCGGAAAAAAAAUUAUAGUCCUGGACCGUAUAAAUCCGUGAUAAAAUAUUUUUCGGACCGUAUUAUGUCAGACCGUAUAAUAAUUGUGGAAUUUGAAAAUAAUCGGACCUUAUUGUCACGGACUGUAGAAAUUCAGAAAGUAUACUCACGGACCGUAUUUUAUUGGGAAAAAAAUAUAGACUUGAACCGUUUAUUAGGACCUAACCUAACCAGGACGAAAUUCGUAAGACAUAAAAUUGAUCCCCAUAACCAAUUUCAUAAGUUGUAUGAAUUUGAUUUUUCGAAAAACCGUUAUUAAAGAUUUUUAAACCGUCGUACUUAGAUCGAAAGAUUUUGAAAACCCAAAAUUUUAAAUAACGGGUUUUUGGAAAAAUUAAAAACUGAUUCUGGUGUAGAAUUUUUUGUAGAAUAUUAUAACCUCUGUGAUAAAGUUUUGUUGAACCACCUGGUGACCGAGAAAACGCGAAUGAAAAUUGAAAAUUUCGAAAUAUUAAAAAACUUGUUUAUACGUUGUAUUUGUUAGUACUUAGUUAAACGUUUGAUAAAAACAAAAAUUAUUGUGUAACAAUGUAACAAAAAAUAUAUAUUUUAUAAUAUUA